RNAcentral lists this ribosomal RNA (338 nucleotides) under Clostridioides difficile. Its description in RNAcentral is "bacterial SSU rRNA". It matches the Rfam family "Bacterial small subunit ribosomal RNA", at positions 197 to 555 of the family's 1533-position model. Lineage: Bacteria; Bacillati; Bacillota; Clostridia; Peptostreptococcales; Peptostreptococcaceae. The record is from RNAcentral.
AAUAUCAAAGGUGAGCCAGUACAGGAUGGACCCGCGUCUGAUUAGCUAGUUGGUAAGGUAACGGCUUACCAAGGCGACGAUCAGUAGCCGACCUGAGAGGGUGAUCGGCCACAUUGGAACUGAGACACGGUCCAAACUCCUACGGGCGGCAGCAGUGGGGAAUAUUGCACAAUGGGCGAAAGCCUGAUGCAGCAACGCCGCGUGAGUGAUGAAGGCCUUCGGGUCGUAAAACUCUGUCCUCAAGGAAGAUAAUGACGGUACUUGAGGAGGAAGCCCCGGCUAACUACGUGCCAGCAGCCGCGGUAAUACGUAGGGGGCUAGCGUUAUCCGGAUUUACU